This is a long non-coding RNA of Oreochromis aureus, 3840 nucleotides long. Lineage: Eukaryota; Metazoa; Chordata; Actinopteri; Cichliformes; Cichlidae. The record is from Ensembl.
UUUGAGAGGGAGAAAUGCAGACAGUCCUUGCAGCUGCUGCCUAAACAAGUGAAAAAAUAUUUAAAAAACAAGCCAGAAGUCUGCAUGAAGCCAUUUUUGUACUCUGGAGAAUAUAUGUUUGUUUUUCCGAUCUGUCCUUGCCUUGGUGACGUUGUGAACGUAACUGAACGGGACUUGGUCCCUGCUGUGACUACAGUAUCAGCCCUGGUCCCACUGUGGAUCUUUCUUGGAGCCCCUGGGUGACUCCCACAGUGGAGGAGGGGCUCUUUGUCACAGUGGCUGACCCAGCUCCUGCACCUGGACUCUGGACCCUGCUCCAGGUCAUCCACACAAACUCCACAGGAGUUUCCCAGCAUGCCUCGGCUGUGGAGCUGAGGGAGAGCUGUUUGUCCUGCUGCCCUGUGAGUUUCCCACUUUUGAACUGGACAGCCCCACAGUGGUGUGGAGUCGCUCCGACCUCAGUCCUCCAACCGUCCACCAGCAUCAAGGAGACGAACUGAAAGAUCCAAACCAGCGUUACAGCGGCCGAACAUCCAUGAAGACUGACGCUCUGGAAACUGGAGACCUCAGCCUGAACCUGACCAACCUCCACCUGUCUGACAGCGCCACCUACACCUGCUCCGUCAGAUCAUUUAGACUGAGAGAUGUCCCACUGCAGGUCAAAGAACCAUUUCCAUCCUGGGCCACAGCUCUGCUGGUUCUGCUGGUUCUGCUGGCUCUUCUGGUUCUCCUGGUUCUGCUGGUUCUCCUGGUUCUUCUGGUUGUCCUGGUUCUCCUGGUUCUUGUUCUCAUCGUCUCUGGAGGUCUUUUAUUUCAUUUCUGGCACUAUUUUAAGUCAGCUACAGCAGGACUGUGCGGUGACGCGCUGUCAGGAGGAGACAGGUCUGCGACAGGAGCCCCGCCCCCUUGUUCUUCUGGCCGGUGUGGUUUCCAUCCCGGAAGAGAAAUUCCUCUCCUGUUUCAGAUAAGGAACAUUUGCCCGCGUGUGGCUGGACUGUGGGAUUAUGGGAAUUUUAGCAUAUGGAAACAUUUGUUUAGCCUUUGUGUUGACAGUGUAGAGUUAUUUCUGCAGCAGGGUUUUAAGUGUGUUGAGACUCUUUUUAUUGUAUAGGGGAUUUAACCUGUAACUCUGGUUGUGUCUGUUUCCAUGGAAAUAAAUGGUGUGUUUAAGGCCAACUUAGUGUCUGUGCCCUGAGCACUGACCCACUCACUCCCCUUCUAUUUGUAUGUGAACGCACUUUGAGGUGCAGAUUUAGAUCCACCACUUUAAGCGGCUACACUAACACUCAGAGAGUCAGUUGGAGGUGGAGGAGGGGGCGGAGUCUGUCCGGCUGCCUGAGGACACUCAGGUGGAGUGGUGGCACCGUCCUGAGAAGCCUGACAAACAGCAGCAGCAUCACAGAGACCGAGUGAAAGAAAGACGAGCGUGUGAAAAGCGGACAGUUCAGCCUGACCCUUAAACACCCCACAGAGAGAGACAGAUACAGCUGUGUGGCCUGGAGCCAGGGAAACAUCAUCGGAUGGAGAGUCGUGCUGCUCACAGUUACAGGGACGGUUCAGGUCCAGGAUCAAACAUCAGGAACAGAAGCAGCUCCAUUGAUCCGACUCCUCUGAUGGCUGAUCAAUCAGUUUGAUCUGUUUGAUUAUUGAUCAGUGAUGUCAGAGUGGAGUCAGUGUGAUGAUCAGUUUAUGUCAGUAUGUCCAUGAAGGUUCUCCAUCAUCCAGGUCAUCGUAGUCGAAGGAGCUUGGAAAGAAAAGCGUCUGGACUUCUUUAAGUUGCUUGAAGACGUUUCACCUUCAUCUGAGAAGCUUCUUCAGUUCUAGGGCUUAAAUCUGGGACUCUUCAAAUGGUGAAGAGUCCCAGAUUUAACUCUGUUGGAGUGUCCCCCUAAGAUCCCUUCCCAGACGCCUUAACGCCCACUCACAUCCUGGGCCAUCUGACCUCAGGAAAUCCCAUGAUAGGGUGAGAGACAAGCUUGUAGACAAACAGCUUUUUACACUAUAAUUACCUGUUUGAGUCCAGUGAGUGUCAAUGACAGGAAAUCCUCACCUGGUGGUGAGUGAGAGAAACCACAGCAGAGACCUCUGUGUUUAAGAAAUGGAUGGUUAUGGUCGCUGAUGCUCUCAGCUGGCUCAGGUUUCACACCAGCACACAGGUACGAGUGCACAAGCUCCCACUGUGGAGUAGACACUACAGGGACUACAUGUGAACGCCUGUGGAACUGUUCACACAGACUGUGUAGUUACAGGAAGCUGCCAGCAGGUGGCAGCGACUAGCUGAACCUCCAGGCCGUGACAGCCAAAUCCAGAAACAACACUAACAAACAUAACAAGAAAACACAAACAAGAAGAAUGACCACUGACACAGGUCUCGGGAACAGUCACCAUUUCUGAUAAUCUUUAAUAACAUGAUGUUUACCAGGAAUGAGUAUCAGUUGUGAUUCAUCUGAGGUUAGCUGGGCUCUUGUUAACCAACCAACUCUGAGAUGCUUGGAGGAAAGGUUGUACUUUGCUGAGUUGGCUUCAUUAGCCAUGAAGAAAAGACUAGCUGGUCAGCUGGAUUGUUGUCGGUAGACACAGGCUUCCAUUGUCUUACUCUAGUGAACUGUUUGAUCUGUUCUUUUCAAACCAUAGAUGGCCACCGCUGGAGAUUGACCACUGCCAGCUUCAUCUGAAACUCAAGGUUGAGGUCACAAAACCACAAGACAGAAAUAAUCCCAAGGUUUUUCUUUGCCCAAGAAGCUGUGGAACAUUUGCUGAAUGUCAGUUAUACUGCAAAGGGUUUGCACUUGAAACAUACAAGCAAACUGUUAUUUAGACCUGAGCCUGGCGUAGCACAUGAAAAAGGGACAUAGUAUUGUACUGAGCACUGAAGUUACACUCAGUAGCACAGGAACAGAGCGGGAGGGAGAGAGAGAGAGCCAGGGACAACAACGUCACAUUAGAAAGGUAUAGUAAUCAUCCACAACUAUUUUCAGUUGCAGAUCAUAAAGGAUUCAGAAAGUUUAUUCAUGCAGGCCCAUAUGACAGAGAAUAUGCAUCUUCUUUUUGUUUUCAUAUUUUAAUUUAUAUUUAAUUGUGUUGUGGUUUGCAGUGUUUUGUGUUGUUUCACUUUACAUUGGUUUAAAAGGAAAAAGCUGAAAAUUUAAAUAGUUAAAAGUUGAAAAGUUGGUUUUUGUAUUAUAUGAUUUAUUCAGUACAUUUUAUCUGGAGUGAAUAAAUAAAAGUAUAUUUGCGGUGGCCCCUACAGACAAAGCAGCACGUACAAACUCCAAAACAUGUACAAACACAACAGAAGUGCUCCAGGAUGCGCAGUGUUGAGCUUUUGUUACCUAGUGGCUACACAAGCCAGCAAGUACCAACAACCGGAUUUGGUGUGUGGUAGUAACAGGUAAAUGAACUUUUUUUUUAAAUUAUUUGAAUAUAUAUGAGUGCUUGUGUAUAAAUACACAAACAAUACACAUAUGCUUUCAACUGUGUAAUUUAAGUGAUCUAGGUAGCUCUGUUUUGGAAGUUCAGUUCAUGCUACAAAUGUGUUUUGGAGUUUGUACGUGCUUUGUCUCUAGGGGCCAUUUAAACAUAUAUGUAUAUAAACAUAUAUAAAUAAAAACACUUUUUUAACAUUAGUAAUUCCUUUUGUGCAUAAUUUUAUAUUAUUGUUAAUAAUAAAUUAAUUAAAGCAACAAAACAACUGAAGAGCCAGUUCUCUGGUCCCCUCCCCAAUCAGACCAGGAGUGACAUGUUUAGCCGCAUGUUCUCCUUAAAUUGCUGGCUGUCUGAGUGGUGUCCCAGAAACGAUGUGGGCUUCAUAGAUAAUUGGCAAACCUUCUGGAGGAAACC